CCUACGGGCGACAGCAGUGAGGAAUAUUGGUCAAUGGGAGAGAUCCUGAAGCAGCCAAGCCGCGUGAGGGAAGACGGCUCUAUGGUUUGUAACCCCUUUUGUUCGAGGAAAUAAUCCCGGUAUCUAACGCGUACGCCCCGGCUCACUCCGUACCAGCAGCCGCGGUAAUGCGGAGGGUGCAGGCGUUACUCGGAGUAACUGGGUUUAAGGGGUGCGUAGGGGGUUUUAUAAGUCAGCGGUAAAAUGGCCGGGCUCAACCCGGACCGGCCGUUGAAACUGUGGACCUUGAGUGGGCGAGUGGUAGGCGGAAUGCGUGGUGUAGCGGUGAAAUGCAUAGAUAUCACGCAGAACUCCGAUCGCGAAGGCAGCAUACCGGCGCCCGACUGACGCUGAGGCACGAAAGCGUGGGUAUCGAACAGGAUUAGAUACCCUUGUAGUC
This 439-nucleotide ribosomal RNA is filed under the name uncultured bacterium. RNAcentral's name for it is "partial 16S ribosomal RNA". It matches the Rfam family "Bacterial small subunit ribosomal RNA", at positions 338 to 795 of the family's 1533-position model. The record is from RNAcentral.